GAUGAGGAACGUAGCGAAAUGCGAUACUUGGUGUGAAUUGCAGAAUCCCGUGAACCAUCGAGUCUUUGAACGCAAGUUGCGCCCGAAGCCACUAGGCCGAGGGCACGCCUGCCUGGGCGUCACACGCCGUUGCCCCCCCAUCUACUCCUUCGGGAUUGCGGGGGGGCGGAUGAUGGCCUCCCGUGCGCCUAGCCGCGCGGUUGGCAUAAAUACCAAGUCCUCGGCGACGCACGCCACGACAAUCGGUGGUUGCGAAACCUCGGUUGCCCGUCGUGUGCGUUCGUCGCGCAUCGAGGGCUCGAAAAAAUGCUCGGCUCCGGCUGGGCUUUCAACGCGACCCCAGGUCAGGCGGGGUUACCCGCUGAAUUUAAGCAUAUCAAUAAGCGGAGGA
Molecule: unclassified non-coding RNA, 391 nt
Filed under: soil metagenome
Description: partial contains 5.8S ribosomal RNA, internal transcribed spacer 2, and large subunit ribosomal RNA
Rfam family: 5.8S ribosomal RNA (bases 1-122)
Source: RNAcentral